Molecule: long non-coding RNA, 643 nt
Organism: Trichogramma pretiosum
Lineage: Eukaryota; Metazoa; Arthropoda; Insecta; Hymenoptera; Trichogrammatidae
Exons: 4
Source: RefSeq, a predicted model, not a curated record
GCAGUGUAUGGUUAUGUUUGUAAGCAAGUUGUGUUCAAGUCACACGCAUACUUAACCAAACUAUUCGACUUUGCAGGAUUUCUGUCGAAUAGUUUUCUAUUUUAGAUUGUUUGUAAAUCAAUUAUUAUUAUUGGAAAAAGCUGCAUUGGAUCAGAUAAAGCAUAUGACAAGAAAACCCAGAAGAUGAUGACCAGCAUUUUCUUACAAUUGAUGGUACAAUUGAUGCAGUGGAUAGUGGAUACCAGUAAUAACGCAGAAUUACUUUUGAUAGAGCUGGACAGUAUGAAGACUGAAUAAAGUUCUUUCAAGCGAUCCGUCAGAAACCAUAAGAAGAUAACCAUUUUUUUCUAAGUUCAGACCUUGCAGUAACCAGCAAUCUGUCAACUCAUCAACUUAUAAUAUAAAAAUGAGAUCUUCACCUUCACAUAUUGAAAAAAGACAUGCUAGGUGGAAACAGUGGAAUCAAUUUGCAAGAAUUAUUAAAUAAGAUACAAGAUAUGCUCAUAGACAUAACUUCAGUGUCAAGUAUUGCUGCAAUCUAAGCAAGACUAGAAGCGACACAAAAAAUACAUUUCACAUGAAGGAAUAUUUUUUGGCUCAUUCUGUAUCAGAAUUACGCAUUUGUUAAAAAUUUAGAAUAUUU